UGGUGAAUCUUUUAAGAAGUA
Molecule: non-coding RNA, 21 nt
Filed under: Caenorhabditis elegans
Lineage: Eukaryota; Metazoa; Nematoda; Chromadorea; Rhabditida; Rhabditidae
Source: RNAcentral